RNAcentral lists this ribosomal RNA (688 nucleotides) under uncultured bacterium. Its description in RNAcentral is "bacterial SSU rRNA". It matches the Rfam family "Bacterial small subunit ribosomal RNA", at positions 126 to 812 of the family's 1533-position model. The record is from RNAcentral.
CUGCCCCUGUCAGGGGGACAACCCGCCGAAAGGCGGGCUAAACCCGCGUACAUGCCACCGGGGCAUCCCGGAGGCAGGAAAGGCUUCGGCCGGACAGGGAUGGGCAUGCGGCGCAUUAGGCAGUAGGCGGGGUAACGGCCCACCUAACCGACGAUGCGUAGGGGUUCUGAGAGGAAGGUCCCCCACACUGGUACUGAGACGCGGACCAGACUCCUACGGGAGGCAGCAGUGAGGAAUAUUGGUCAAUGGUCGGGAGACUGAACCAGCCAAGCCGCGUGAGGGAUGAAGGUACAGAGUAUCGUAAACCUCUUUUGUCAGGGAACAAAGGCGGGGACGUGUCCCCGGAUGAGUGUACCUGAAGAAAAAGCAUCGGCUAACUCCGUGCCAGCAGCCGCGGUAAUACGGAGGAUGCGAGCGUUAUCCGGAUUUAUUGGGUUUAAAGGGUGCGCAGGCGGUCUGUUAAGUCAGCGGUCAAAGCCCGGGGCUCAACCCCGGCCCGCCGUUGAAACUGGCAGUCUCGAGUUGGAGAGAAGUAUGCGGAAUGCGCGGUGUAGCGGUGAAAUGCAUAGAUAUCGCGCAGAACUCCGAUUGCGAAGGCAGCAUGCCGGCUCCACACUGACGCUGAGGCACGAAAGCGUGGGUAUCGAACAGGAUUAGAUACCCUGGUAGUCCACGCAGUAAACGAUGA